CAGUAGCCGCGGUAAUACGAGGGGGGCAAGCGUUGUUCGGAAUUAUUGGGCGUAAAGGGUGCGUAGGCGGUUUGAUAAGUCUUAUGUGAAAUCCCACGGCUCAACCGUGGAGGGUCAUUGGAAACUGUUAAACUUGAGUGCAGGAGAGAAAAGUGGAAUUCCUAGUGUAGCGGUGAAAUGCGUAGAGAUUAGGAGGAACACCAGUGGCGAAGGCGGCUUUUUGGCCUGUAACUGACACUGAGGCGCGAAAGCGUGGGGAGCAAACAGGAUUAGAUACCCCCGUAGUCCCUGUCUCUUAUAC
RNAcentral lists this ribosomal RNA (301 nucleotides) under uncultured bacterium. RNAcentral's name for it is "partial 16S ribosomal RNA". It matches the Rfam family "Bacterial small subunit ribosomal RNA", at positions 509 to 807 of the family's 1533-position model. The record is from RNAcentral.